AUUGAACGCUGGCGGCAUGCCUUACACAUGCAAGUCGAACGGUAACAGGUCUUCGGAUGCUGACGAGUGGCGAACGGGUGAGUAAUACAUCGGAACGUGCCUAGUAGUGGGGGAUAACUACUCGAAAGAGUGGCUAAUACCGCAUGAGAUCUACGGAUGAAAGCAGGGGAUGGCAAGACCUUGUGCUACUAGAGCGGCCGAUGGCAGAUUAGGUAGUUGGUGGGAUAAGAGCUUACCAAGCCGACGAUCUGUAGCUGGUCUGAGAGGAUGAUCAGCCACACUGGGACUGAGACACGGCCCAGACUCCUACGGGAGGCAGCAGUGGGGAAUUUUGGACAAUGGGCGCAAGCCUGAUCCAGCAAUGCCGCGUGCAGGAUGAAGGCCUUCGGGUUGUAAACUGCUUUUGUACGGAACGAAAAGCCCUGGGUUAAUACCCUGGGGUCAUGACGGUACCGUAAGAAUAAGCACCGGCUAACUACGUGCCAGCCGCCGCGGUAA
RNAcentral lists this ribosomal RNA (498 nucleotides) under uncultured bacterium. Its description in RNAcentral is "partial 16S ribosomal RNA". It matches the Rfam family "Bacterial small subunit ribosomal RNA", at positions 30 to 523 of the family's 1533-position model. The record is from RNAcentral.